GGUAAUACGGAGGAUCCAAGCGUUAUCCGGAAUCAUUGGGUUUAAAGGGUCCGCAGGCGGCCUGUUAAGUCAGAGGUGAAAUCCUACAGCUCAACUGUAGAACUGCCUUUGAUACUGAUAGGCUUGAGUUAUUGUGAAGUGGUUAGAAUGUGUGGUGUAGCGGUGAAAUGCUUAGAUAUCACACAGAACACCGAUUGCGAAGGCAGCCAACUAAACCAUCAUUGACGCUGAGGGACGAAAGCGUGGGGAGCGAACGGGAUUAGAUACCCUGGUAGUCCACGCCGUAAACGAUGAUUACUCGGUAUUGGCUUCGGUCAGUGCCCAAGCGAAAGUGAUAAGUAAUCCACCUGGGGAGUACGCCCGCAAGGGUGAAACUCAAAGGAAUUGACGGGGGCCCGCACAAGCGGUGGAGCAUGUGGUUUAAUUCGAUGAUACGCGAGGAACCUUACCAGGGUUUAAAUGCAGAACGACAGGGGUGGAAACACCCCCUUCUUCGGACGGACUGCAAGGUGCUGCAUGGUU
Molecule: ribosomal RNA, 522 nt
Filed under: uncultured Flavobacteriia bacterium
Lineage: Bacteria; Pseudomonadati; Bacteroidota; Flavobacteriia
Description: bacterial SSU rRNA
Rfam family: Bacterial small subunit ribosomal RNA
Source: RNAcentral